Arachis stenosperma is the source of this 729-nucleotide long non-coding RNA. RefSeq lists it as uncharacterized. NCBI's taxonomy places the organism in Eukaryota, Viridiplantae, Streptophyta, Magnoliopsida, Fabales, Fabaceae. The record is from RefSeq and is a predicted model, not a curated record. The transcript is spliced from 2 exons.
AACCGUCUCACCCCCUUCCCCCAAUACAACCCCCCCUUUUCGUGAAUCACUGUGACCCUCUGAACUCUGAAGCAAAGCCAAACCCUAGGUUCUCCCUGCAACGGAUCUGCCGCAGUGCCGCCGCCGUCCGUGCUGUCGGCGCCUCCGCGGCUUCCUCCUUCCAGCUGUGCCGAGCCCAGGUCCUCUCUUGUAGCUCGGUGUCUUCCUUCCCCCCUGUUCCUGUCCUCCGUGGCUUCUCUAUUCGAGGCUUGGAGUAGCUCGCCGCCGUGUUGCCGCUCGUCGUCGUCUCCCCGGUCGCCGUCCGUGUCUCCGUCGAAGAAAGAUGUUGGUCGUUCCAAGUUUUCAAAGUCCCUUUCUGUACCUGGGAGAAAUUUUGUUAUUGUAAGAUCCAUCUCCUUUUCUACCCGUAGUGAACAGGAUCGGCAAGAUACAAAUGAUGAUAUGUUCCCUCUAAGGCCUCACUAAAGUCAUAUAUAUUUUAUGUACUUCCAGUUUUGUAGUUCUACUUUCUGUUUUUAAAUUCACAGUGAAGAAAUCUAAUCCAUUUUCCAAGCUUUACAUUUCAAGCAAAAAAUGGGUUGUGUUUAUUAUUCCACCUAGUGUUGUGGUUCCCCGUUCCUGUCUUCAUUCUUUUAUGGGUUAGAAAUUAUGAAUGAUCUCAAUUAGUUGCUAGUGUUUGAAAAUAUUGUAUGUUGAUAAUAGACAAAAUGAUAGCCACUUUUAUGAGUA